ACGAACGCUGGCGGCAUGCCUCACACAUGCAAGUCGAACGAGACCUUCGGGUCUAGUGGCGCACGGGUGCGUAACGCGUGGGAACCUGCCCUUAGGUUCGGGAUAACUCCCCGAAAGGGGUGCUAAUACCGGAUAAUGUCUUCGGACCAAAGAUUUAUCGCCUUUGGAUGGGCCCGCGUUGGAUUAGCUAGUUGGUAGGGUAAAAGCCUACCAAGGCGACGAUCCAUAGCUGGUCUGAGAGGAUGAUCAGCCACACUGGGACUGAGACACGGCCCAGACUCCUACGGGAGGCAGCAGUGGGGAAUAUUGGACAAUGGGCGAAAGCCUGAUCCAGCAAUGCCGCGUGAGUGAUGAAGGCCUUAGGGUUGUAAAGCUCUUUUACCCGGGAUGAUAAUGACAGUACCGGGAGAAUAAGCUCCGGCUAACUCCGUG
Molecule: ribosomal RNA, 432 nt
Filed under: uncultured bacterium
Lineage: Bacteria
Description: partial 16S ribosomal RNA
Rfam family: Bacterial small subunit ribosomal RNA
Source: RNAcentral